Molecule: ribosomal RNA, 426 nt
Filed under: uncultured bacterium
Lineage: Bacteria
Description: bacterial SSU rRNA
Rfam family: Bacterial small subunit ribosomal RNA
Source: RNAcentral
CGCCAGCAGCCGCGGUAAGACGUAGGGGGCGAGCGUUGUCCGGAAUUACUGGGCGUAAAGAGCACGUAGGCGGGAAUUUAAGUCAGAUGUGAAAGACCGGGGCUCAACCCCGGGGUUGCAUUUGAAACUGGAUUUCUUGAGGGCAGGAGAGGGAAGCAGAAUUCCUGGUGUAGCGGUGAAAUGCGUAGAAAUCAGGAGGAAUACCAGUGGCGAAGGCGGCUUUCUGGACUGUCCCUGACGCUGAGGUGCGAAAGCGUGGGUAGCAAACAGGAUUAGAUACCCUGGUAGUCCACGCCGUAAACGAUGGAUACUAGGUGUGGGAGGUAUCGACCCCUUCCGUGCCGCAGCUAACGCAAUAAGUAUCCCGCCUGGGGAGUACGAUCGCAAGGUUGAAACUCAAAGGAAUUGACGGGGGCCCGCACAAGU